Molecule: ribosomal RNA, 338 nt
Filed under: uncultured bacterium
Lineage: Bacteria
Description: bacterial SSU rRNA
Rfam family: Bacterial small subunit ribosomal RNA
Source: RNAcentral
GAUGAACGCUAGCUACAGGCUUAACACAUGCAAGUCGAGGGGCAGCAUUAUCGAAGCUUGCUUUGAUAGAUGGCGACCGGCGCACGGGUGAGUAACGCGUAUCCAACCUUCCCCAUAGUCAGGAAUAGCCCGGCGAAAGUCGAAUUAAUGCCUGAUGUUUUCCACGGACGGCAUCCGAUGUGGAACAAAGAUUGAUCGCUAUGGGAUGGGGAUGCGUCUGAUUAGCUUGUUGGCGGGGUAAACGGCCCACCAAGGCAACGAUCAGUAGGGGUUCUGAGAGGAAGUCCCCCACAUUGGAACUGAGACACGGUCCAAACUCCUACGGGAGGCAGCAGUGA